RNAcentral lists this long non-coding RNA (1000 nucleotides) under Medicago truncatula (barrel medic). Its description in RNAcentral is "lncRNA gene3131". Lineage: Eukaryota; Viridiplantae; Streptophyta; Magnoliopsida; Fabales; Fabaceae. The record is from RNAcentral.
GAAACAGCUAUUCAUAAUUAUUGUCACUGUAUAUUACGUUUUAAUUUUCCAUCUGCAUGUAUAAAGAUAUGUAAGAUCAGACCUAUAAGACCAGGCAGUUUUUGUGGUAAUCCUAUUUUCGUGAAGUUAUUGAGAUAAGUAACUAUCUAGUGCAAAUCUAUGUCUUCAUUGUCCAGGAUGCACUUCAAAAAGGGAUGAAUUUCAUUACAUGCUGAAAGAGCUAGAUCAUCACACCUGCGUGUAAAAUGAUAUAUAUUUAAGCAAGCAUAACAAUCAGUGGGCCACUAUCUUUUCUGUCAGUGUUAAACUUGAUAAACCUACCAGCAUACUCCUCCCACAAAGUGCAGUUAAUUGAGAUGUCACUGUAAGCAUAGAUGGUUGAAUAACAAUGAAUAUUGAAGCUGACAAUAAGUUAGAAUAUAUACCUUAAAUCCGAAAUUGAGAGGUAAAAAUGAAUAUUGAAAUCCGAAAUUAGUUAGAAUAUAUACCUUAAAUCUUUCAUUGUAAAGUUGACUUGUAGUUUUUUGCCGGUUCCUUCUGUAAGCUGACAAUAUCCCAUGUCCUGGACAACUCCAAUAGCAUCUAAAUAUGCAUACACAUGUAAUGUUAUAGUUAUGAGAUAAAUAUAAGGAAUAUUUGAAUAACAGUCAUAUACUCUGUUUUUGUCUACGCUACAAGACAAGAAAAAUAGCUCUGCCUGCAGAAAUGUUCCUUCAAGUUAUGAAUAGAUUUGAACGUGAUCCUUUAUAGAACAACAUCCAAAUCUGGCAAAAGAUCAUUGGUGAUUGAUCAAGGUUUCACAACGACUCUAUUGACGUGCUUAAAGAUCUCAACGACUCUUUCACACCUCUAUAUAAAGGAGUGAAGACUUGAAGAACUCAAGAGACAGACAACAAUUGAAAAAGCGCCCAAACUCUGCUAAAAUUGUUUCACAUAAAAGCACUUUGAAUUUCUGUGUUCAUUUGAUAUAUCUUAGAAAUUCUUAAGUCUAGAGUCUUUA